RNAcentral lists this ribosomal RNA (1476 nucleotides) under uncultured prokaryote. RNAcentral's name for it is "partial 16S ribosomal RNA". It matches the Rfam family "Bacterial small subunit ribosomal RNA". The record is from RNAcentral.
AGAGUUUGAUCCUGGCUCAGAACGAACGCUGGCGGUAUGCUUAACACAUGCAAGUCGAACGCGAAAGUCUCUUCGGAGGCGAGUAGAGUGGCGCACGGGUGAGUAACACGUAGAUAACCUGCCCCUUAGUCUGGGACAACCUUCUGAAAAGAGGUCUAAUACCGGAUAAUACCUUUAGCCAUACGGUUUUAAGUUGAAAGAUUUUAUCGCUGGGGGAUGGGUCUGCGCACCAUUAGCUUGUUGGUGAGGUAAAGGCCUACCAAGGCAACGAUGGGUAGCGGGUCUGAGAGGACGAUCAGCCACACUGGGACUGAGACACGGUCCAGACUCCUACGGGAGGCAGCAGUGGGGAAUAUUGCACAAUGGAGGAAACUCUGACGCAGCAAUACCGCGUGAGUGAAGAAGGCCCUUGGGUCGUAAAGCUCUUUUCUGGGGGAAGAUGAUGACGGUACCCCAAGAAUAAGCACCGGCUAACUAUGUGCCAGCAGCCGCGGUAAUACAUAGGGUGCGAGCGUUGUUCGGAAUUACUGGGCGUAAAGGGCGCGCAGGCGGAAUAGUAAGUCGGAGGUGAAAGCCCCGGGCUCAACCCCGGAGGGUCUUUCGAAACUGCUAAUCUAGAGAGGGUCAGGGGCCGGCGGAAUUCCUGGUGUAGAGGUGAAAUUCGUAGAUAUCAGGAGGAACACCGGAGGCGAAGGCGACCCGCUGGAGCCAUUCUGACGCUGAGGCGCGAAAGCGUGGGGAGCGAACGGGAUUAGAUACCCCGGUAGUCCACGCCGUAAACGAUGAAUACCAGCUGUUUGGGAAAUCGAGACCUCCCAAGUGGCGCAGCUAACGCGACGAGUAUUCCGCCUGGGGAUUACGGUCGCAAGACUAAAACUCAAAGGAAUUGACGGGGGCCCGCACAAGCGGUGGAGCAUGUGGUUUAAUUCGACGCAACGCGAAGAACCUUACCUGGGCUUGACAUCCCCGGACCCCGGUGUAGAGAUACACUUUCCCUUCGGGGCCGCAUUAGAGGUGCUGCAUGGCUGUCGUCAGCUCGUGUCGUGAGAUGUUGGGUUAAGUCCCGCAACGAGCGCAACCCCUACUGAUAGUUGCCAGUGGUUUGGCCGGGCACUCUAUUGGGACUGCCGGUGUCAAACCGGAGGAAGGUGGGGACGACGUCAAGUCCUCAUGGCCCUUAUGCCCAGGGCUACACACGUGCUACAAUGGGAUGUACAGAGGGUUGCCAAGCCGCGAGGUGGAGCCAACCCAGAAAACAUUCCUCAGUUCGGAUUGUAGUCUGUAAUUCGACUACAUGAAGCUGGAAUCGCUAGUAAUCGCGGAUCAGCACGCCGCGGUGAAUACGUUCCCGGGCCUUGUACACACCGCCCGUCACACCAUGGGAGCCGACAAGGGCAGAAGUCGCCGAGCUAACCUUCGGGAAGCAGGCGCCCAAGCUGUUGUUGACGACUGGGGUGAAGUCGUAACAAGGUAACC